GGGGAAUAUUGGACAAUGGGCGCAAGCCUGAUCCAGCCAUGCCGCGUGGGUGAAGAAGGCCUUCGGGUUGUAAAGCCCUUUUGUUGGGAAAGAAAAGCAGCCGGCCAAUACCCGGUUGUUCUGACGGAAACCAAAGAAUAAGCACCGGCUAACUUCGUGACAGCAGCCGCGGUAAUACGAAGGGUGCAAGCGUUACUCGGAAUUACUGGGCGUAAAGCGUGCGUAGGUGGUGGUUUAAGUCCGUUGUGAAAGCCCUGGGCUCAACCUGGGAACUGCAGUGGAUACUGGAUCACUAGAGUGUGGCAGAGGGUAGUGGAAUUCUCAGUGUAGCGGCGAAAUGCGUAGAUAUUGGGAAGAACACCAGUAGCGAAGGCGACUUUCUGGGCCAACACUGACACUGAGGCACGAAAGCGUGGGGAGCAAACA
Molecule: ribosomal RNA, 426 nt
Filed under: uncultured Lysobacteraceae bacterium
Lineage: Bacteria; Pseudomonadati; Pseudomonadota; Gammaproteobacteria; Lysobacterales; Lysobacteraceae
Description: bacterial SSU rRNA
Rfam family: Bacterial small subunit ribosomal RNA
Source: RNAcentral